UACGAACCGAGCGAACGUUAUUCGGAAUCACUGGGCGUAAAGGGUGCGUAGGCGGGUCUUUAAGUCAGGGGUGAAAUCCUGGAGCUCAACUCCAGAACUGCCUUUGAUACUGAGGAUCUUGAGUUCGGGAGAGGUGAGUGGAACUGCGAGUGUAGAGGUGAAAUUCGUAGAUAUUCGCAAGAACACCAGUGGCGAAGGCGGCUCACUGGCCCGAUACUGACGCUGAGGCACGAAAGCGUGGGGAGCAAACAGG
This 253-nucleotide ribosomal RNA is filed under the name uncultured bacterium. RNAcentral describes it as "partial 16S ribosomal RNA". It matches the Rfam family "Bacterial small subunit ribosomal RNA", at positions 524 to 776 of the family's 1533-position model. The record is from RNAcentral.